AUAAAGGUGUUGAUUAUAUUAUUUGAAAAAAUGAUAUGGUUAAAUGGCUUCCGCUAAAUGUCACAUACAUAACUUAUUUACCACUUUGCGACGCACGUGUUUGAAGCUAACUAUUGACGUCUCCUCUCCUUUUAAAGAUAGUUUAGAAAAGAAAGCUGUUGUUGUGACGAAAAAUGUUCAAAAGCAAGAAAAAUCUCCGAUUUAAAACUUUUAUUAUCCUUUGACUUUAAUAUAGGUAAUUGCUUAGGGAGUCUUCUGUAAAGUCGUUUGAGUGACACACGUGUUUCAAGCAUAAAAUUACGUCUCAACUUUUUCAUUUACGAUGGUCAAGAAAAGAAAACUGUCCAAAAGGUUGGAAACAAUCCAUCGAAAGAGAGUAACCCUUCAAUGUAAUGACUACACAUGAAAUGAGUGAUCAAUUUCAUGUGAUAAAAGCUUUUAUUUUGUAGUACAAACCACUUCUUAGCUAGUACAAAAGGGCAC
Molecule: long non-coding RNA, 483 nt
Filed under: Mytilus galloprovincialis (Mediterranean mussel)
Lineage: Eukaryota; Metazoa; Mollusca; Bivalvia; Mytilida; Mytilidae
Source: RNAcentral